GACGAGCUGGAAAUAAUCAAUUCACAUUUCCUUUUUAUUUUAAUGUUGCACAUUUAUUUAGAACAGUAAACAGUCAGUUUCACCAGAAGUCCUUUAGUAGGUGUCCUA
This is a long non-coding RNA of Etheostoma spectabile (orangethroat darter), 108 nucleotides long. RefSeq lists it as uncharacterized. Lineage: Eukaryota; Metazoa; Chordata; Actinopteri; Perciformes; Percidae. The transcript is spliced from 3 exons. The record is from RefSeq and is a predicted model, not a curated record.